GAUAAACGCUAGCGGCAGGCUUAACACAUGCAAGUCGAGGGGCAGCAUAGAUUGUAGCAAUACAAUUGGUGGCGACCGGCGCACGGGUGCGUAACGCGUAUGCAACCUACCCGUCACAGGGGGAUAAUCCGGAGAAAUCUGGUAUAAUACCCCAUAACAUAUGGAUCGGCAUCGGUUCAUGUUGAAAUUUUCGGAGGUGACGGAUGGGCAUGCGUAGCAUUAGCUUGUUGGUGAGGUAAUGGCUCACCAAGGCGACGAUGCUUAGGGGGACUGAGAGGUUUUCCCCCCACACUGGUACUGAGACACGGACCAGACUCCUACGGGAGGCAGCAGUGAGGAAUAUUAGUCAAUGGGCGCAAGCCUGAACCAGCCAUGCCGCGUGCAGGAUGACGGCUCUAUGAGUUGUAAACUGCUUUUGUACGAGGGUAAAGUGGGUUACGUGUAACCUUUUGAAAGUAUCGUACGAAUAAGGAUCGGCUAACUCCGUGCCAGCCGCCGCCGUAA
Molecule: ribosomal RNA, 504 nt
Filed under: uncultured bacterium
Lineage: Bacteria
Description: partial 16S ribosomal RNA
Rfam family: Bacterial small subunit ribosomal RNA
Source: RNAcentral